AGGGAUAGAUCAUUUUGGGGAUGAUCUAUGUUGAAAGAGGAUCCUGUGAGUUGUUGACUCAUGUCUUGGAUUUAAAAGAAGAAAAUGUGAAGGAAUGAUAUAGUUCUGAUUGAGGUUCGAUUGAGGAUGUUGGGGAUCUUUUGAGGAUUCGGAUUCGGGACGAGCACUUCGACAUAGAGGUUGAUUAGCUCGAUCUAUUGGAGG
Zingiber officinale is the source of this 204-nucleotide long non-coding RNA. RefSeq lists it as uncharacterized. Lineage: Eukaryota; Viridiplantae; Streptophyta; Magnoliopsida; Zingiberales; Zingiberaceae. The record is from RefSeq and is a predicted model, not a curated record. The transcript has 3 exons.